UUCCGGUUGAUCCUGCCGGAGGCGACCGCUAUUGGAGUUCGAUUAAGACAUGCGAGUCUGAGCAUUAGCUCGGCGUACCGCUCAGUAACACGUGGGUAACCUGCCCUAUCGUUUUGAAUAACCUCGGGAAACUGAGAACAAUACAUCAUAGUCCACUACGCCUGGAACGGUGAGUGGAUGAAGGUAGGAUGGGCCUGCGGCGUAUCAGGUUGUAGGGGGUGUAAUGGACCUCCUAGCCAUCGACGCGUACGGGUGUUGGGAGACAUAGCCCGGAGAUGGAUUCUGAGACACGAAUCCAGGCCCUACGGGGCGCAGCAGUUACGAAAACUUGGCAAUGCGGGAAACCGUGACCAGGGAACUCCAAGUGAGUCUCUUUUAGGGGCUCUUUUCUUGACUCUAAAACGGUCUUGGAAUAAGGGGUGGGUAAGGACGGUGCCAGCCGCCGCGGUAAUACCGGCGCCUCAAGUGGUAGUCGCUUUUAUUGGGCCUAAAACGUCCGUAGCCGGUCUGGUACAUUCGUGGGUAAAUCAACUCGCUUAACGAGUUGAAUUCUGCGAGGACGGCCAGACUUGGGACCGGGAGAGGUGUGGGGUACUCUCAGGGUAGGGGUAAAAUCCUGUCAUCCUGAGAGGACCACCUGUUGCGAAGGCUCCACACUAGAACGGAUCCGACGGUCAGGGACGAAGCCUAGGGGCACGAACCGGAUUAGAUACCCGGGUAGUCCUAGGUGUAAACGCUGUGGACUUGAUGUUGGGGACGCUCCGAGCGUUCUCAGUGUCGAAGCGAAGGUGAUAAGUCCACUGCCUGGGGAGUACGGUCGCAAGGCUGAAACUUAAAGGAAUUGGCGGGGGAGCACCGCAACCUGAGGAUUGUGCGGUUUAAUUGGAUUCAACGCCGGA
This 899-nucleotide ribosomal RNA is filed under the name uncultured archaeon. RNAcentral describes it as "bacterial SSU rRNA". It matches the Rfam family "Archaeal small subunit ribosomal RNA", at positions 1 to 922 of the family's 1478-position model. The record is from RNAcentral.